RNAcentral lists this long non-coding RNA (13266 nucleotides) under Octopus vulgaris (common octopus). The record is from RNAcentral. Lineage: Eukaryota; Metazoa; Mollusca; Cephalopoda; Octopoda; Octopodidae.
AAAUGUAACAGUAAUUUAUUUGAUAUUUAAUACUUAACAUAUGCAAUACAUUUCAGAGGAGGGGAAGAAAAAGAAAUAUAAAGGAAAAGAAACAUUUUUCAAAUGUAAAGUACAACUCAAUAUUUAUACAUGCAAUUUCACUAAUAUGUCAUGCACAGAAAUGACAUUUCAUAAAAGAUAUUCUAAAGUUAAUAAACAAAAAUGCUAAGCUGGCUGAAACCUUAUUUUAUUACAGUUUCAACAAAAGUAUAAAAUAAAAAGGGAAAAAAAUAUUUAAUCAUGGAAAACAUAUUCAGCCAGUUACAUAGGAAAAUGAUAAAUUUAAACUAAAAUCAUAAAAUAAAAAUUGAUAUUGCCAAGAUUAUAUAAUUUUCGUUUCACAUUAUGGAAUAUAACUUAAGCAAUAUUUAACAUAAUAUCUAUUAAGUGUCACCAAUAUAACAAAUAACCAGUAGAGAAUAUAUUUUUUUAAUAAUUUAAGCCGUUAUGUAUGAUGUUAUGAAUCUACACAAAACUAAAUGAAGAUAUCAGUUCUGAUAAUGUCAAAAAAGUUCAUUAUCAAGUGAAGAAUAAUUUCUUUCUGAAGCAUAAAACCCUUUUUGGUGCUGUUUUUCAUUUCCAACGUCCCCUAAAAGUAGGAGUAUUCAAUAAAGUAAAUCGUGGACAGCAAAGUGCCACAAAUGGGAAACUAUCUCAUUCAUGUGCAAGUCAUCAAUCUCAUGUAUUACUAGUCAUACGGGAUAGCCAGAACUAAAGUAAUAAUAUUUAAGCACAAACUAGCAUCAGAGGGAACUGUUAACUAGAAGAUCUACCACAUGCUGAACAUUUUAUUCAAAAUUCAAGUUAUAUUGCUGGUGUUUGGUGUCACUGAUGAAAUUUAUGGGAGCACAUCUGUUAGACAGCGUAGGCCAUUUAGAAGGAAAAUACAGUUGGAUUUUGAGGCUUUCAGAGGACACUUGAAAUGAAAAAGUACCCCUCCUUUUCUAAGGAGAGAAGUCAAUUGACUCAACACCAGUACAUUGGUAAUUAAUUUGUCAACACUAAGGGUGUACAAUUGGAAGAUUUGAAUUUAAAAAUAUGUUAUGAUUGGCACUUUAGUCCAUCUUGCAGACCAAAUUCAGUGAUUUAACUUCAGUUAAACAUUAGCCCUUUCAUACAAUAUAAAUUUUAUGAUGAAACUUUUAAAAAUGAUUACAUGAUGGUAAAAACAUACACUAAAAACUCCAAUGACAACAGUGUCUAAGGCAGUAUUUCAUGCAUGACAUGGUUUUACAGCAGUAGUAAGUCAAAUUGUUACUCAAAAUUCACAAGGAUUUUUUGGUAUUUCAUUAGUGGUUCAUAAAUAUUUACUGGAUAUAAAUCGGGAUUCACAUCAUUAAAACACAAGUUUAAUGUUCAUGUGUAAACUUCAUUUGUGCCAUAUAUCUUCUUAAGCAUCUAAUUUUUAUCAUAUGUGGUUUAUAUAUUAAGCAAAUCUAACUACCCCUUGUAUACAUGAAGCUGAAAAAGCAGUCUCUACAUUAUGUAUAUAUGAAACUUCAGUGAUUCAUAAUGGCAAAUAUUGGAAGAUGUCAUAUUUAUUUAUACCUUUCUCAAGGUCAUUAGUAAUCUAAAUGAUUUCUAUUGGUAGAAGUCAAGUCAAAAAAGAAAGUAAUUAGUCAUUAACUAUACCACUCACUAUACAAAAUGUGCCUUUUCACUAAUCAGUAGGGGUUUUCAAGCAAACAGGAUAAUUUAUGAAGCAACAAAAUAAGAAAAAAAUAGCAUAAGGAGAAAAUUUAUAUGGUACUAAAACUAUCAACUAAUUUCAAUAUAUUUGAGUUUAUUUGUGUCAUAUAUAAGUAGAUGACACAAACUGUAAAUAUUCAUCACCAGCAGUUACAUUCUACUGAUUUCAGGGAGUGGAGUAAAGCACUCUGAUGCACAAGACUUCUCCACACUACAAAAUGUGCAGUGUAAAUGAAGAGAAAUACUUACAAAUAGGAAAUCAAAAUUUGAUCAAUGAAUCGGCCCACCAAGAGCUUACAUCAAAUAUGCAGAGCUCAUAUAUAUAUAUAUAUAUAUAUAUAUAUAUAUAUAAUGGCAUUUUGUAAAUUUCGUAAAACAUAUGAGCAACAAUAAAAGACACAAUGGAGGUAAUACCUAAAUAUAGUUAAAGCAUAAUAUCAUUUUUAAUAAACUUAUUAAUUUUCUUUGUUUUUUUCUUUAUUACUUAUCCACACUCUCAUAUUUCUUUGUCAUCCCAACAUUUGUUGCUGGACUGACUUCAAACAACAAACUAAAAUGUCUUAAAAGUCAUCAGAUCUAAACCAAUGUAACUGUAAAUAUGAAGGAGAAUACCAAUUCCUGAGUAAUAGACCUGCUCAACCUGGAUCAAUCAAUUUUUAACAAUCAUUUCCUCAACAAUAUACAAGUUACAUUAGUUAUAGAUUUAAAAUCCAAAGUACAUUCGUACUACACCAAACAGUUCAGUAAUGGUAUCAGUUCAAUCAAGAGAAUGGUGAAAAUUUCUUUUAUUUUUGCUAUUUUUUUUUACUUUGUUUGAUUCCCUCUUUCUGAGCAAAAAAAAAAAUUGGAAUUUCAUAUAUUUGCUUCCAAAAUAAUUUUGGUUAAGAGACACAUCAAUUGCAAAGUAAAAUAUUUUUUCAAGAUAACUUUGUGGAGAAUUUGUAGAUGAAAGGAUCACUAAAACAUGAGUAUAAUCUCAGUUUUGCUUAGCUUACAUUUCUAAGAUAUUUUAGGGAAGCCAGCAAUAUAUACAGAUACAGAUAUAUAUAUAUAUAUAUAUUAUAUAGGAAUAACAACAACAGCAGCAGCAGUAGUAACAACAUCAUUGUUCAAGAUAAAAUGCAAAAAACUUUCCAACAGUUCAAAAUAAUUCAUGGAAAUAUAUAUUCUAAAACAUAACUACAAAAAAUAGAAUUUUCAAAAGCAUUUUAAAUCUCAUAAAAUAUUUCGAUAUAUAUGAUGAAACAUUUUGUUUGUAUGUGUUAAGAGUUAAUAUUGUUAGUUAAUUUUAUGUUGUACAUUCUAAUAGGUGUCAAAUCAUGCUAUUUUCAUUCUAGGAGCAUGGCAAGUGUAUGUAUAUAUAUAUAUAUAUAUAUAUAUAUAUACACAUACAUAUGUAUGUAUGUAUGCACACACACAAGCACAUGUAAAUGUAUUAUACAAACAUACAGAUUAUUAAAACCAUGACUCCUAAAAUGGAUUUCUUUUCAUUGAUAGAGAUGUAAGAAACUAGCUAUAAUGACAAAUAUAUAUAUAUAUAUAUAUAUAUUCAAAUAUGAAUUAGAAGCAGCACUAGUGUAUAUAUAUGUACACACAUACAAAUAUACACACACAUAUAUAAAUAUACAUACAUAAAUGUGUAUGCAUGCAUAUAUAUAUAUAUAUAUAUGCAAAAAAGACUACAGUCAUCACUCACAAGCAAAUAUGACUUGAUAGCAUAUAGUAUGCAGUCAUUAACUGUUCUAAGUGCAGUUAUGAGCAGACAUAAAUGCCUUUUCAGGUUCCCCAGUUAUUGGUUGAAUGGAACAUCAAGAUAAUGGCAGCUGGAGGGAGAAAGGGCUGCACCAGCAGUUGAGUAGACUGGAGCAGCAUGAAAUGAAUACUCUUGAUCAAAAACUCAGCAAGCCAACCAGCCUAGGAAUCAAACCCACAACCUUCUGAUCAUUAGCCCAACAUUCUAAACACAAGGUCAUAUACCUUUGUAUGUAUACACAGUCAUGCACACAUAUGAUCAUGUGCUUCUAACUAUACAUACACAUAUAUAUAUACAUAUACACACACAUAUAUAUAUAGUUAGAAGCACUUUAUAUAUAUAUACACACACACACACACGACAUAUAUAUAUAUUUAUAUUUAUAUUUAGAAGUGCAUGCACAAACACACAUACAUAUAUUUAUAAUAUAUAUAUAACAUAUAUAUGUAGACACACACAUACAAUAACUACAUUUGGAGAGUUAGAAGUAUUCAACCUACUAAUCAGAUAAACUAAUAACUCAUAAUUCAAUAAAAUGAUUACUUGAGUUACAAAAGAAAUUAACAAAUUUUUUAAAUAUCUAAUAAAUAACAAAAAAAUCCUCACAGAAAACAUAACUACAUCUACCAAUCAGUUACAUUAUAUCCCAAAUACAAAAUUACAAAAUAUAGAAGCUAAGCUUGGCAGUAUGUGGGUAAAUUAAUUGUUCAAAGAUAUCAAAAAUUUAAUCCACAGUGGCAGAUGAAUUAAUUACAUCACAGAGAAAACAUAAUCUGGAUAACACCUUUAGGAAGACAUAAAAAUGUAUUGAAUAUCAAUGUACAUAUAAAAACCUAUAUAGAAUUGUUUAAAUACUGAAGAGAUACAAAUGUCUGCUUAAAAUAAAUAUUGUACCCAUAUAUUCAUUAAAUGUACAUCUGGAGCCAGUCUGUUACUUGGUUAAUGUAAGAGUGAGGUAAUAUUUUAUAAUUGUAAUGCUUUAAGACAUCAAUAAGUAUAGUGUCUAGAAAUAUUGUCUACUGUUAUGAUUACUUGCCACCAAAGUAGUCAUUGAGAUAUGAACAACAGUAAGAAUAUCUUUAUGUUUAUAAGUCUCUUGCACAUACAUGUACAAUUUUGAAAAAACAAGAAAUGUGAAGUAGCAAACAAAUGGAUUGAGAGGUCAAAAGCCAUUUGAAAAAAAGUGUCAAACUUACAUCAUGAAACAAUAUCAAAACCAGAUUAUUAAAUACUAUGUAUGAAGGACUCUAGUGUGUGGAGUUGAAACAUAGACACUAACAAAACUAUGGAUUGCAAUAAUUUGAUAUAUUGGUACAUAGAUGAUCUUUCAGAAUAUGGACCAUCCACAAAACCCACAAUGAAGCACUGAAAAUGGCAAAAAAUUCAGAAAAUUUCAUUAGACACCAUCAAAGGAAGAAAACUAAAAUAUUUUUGGACAAUUUUAAUUAGAAAAGUCAAUUAAAGUGGGAUAUCUAUUUUAAUCUUUAAGCUGCAAAAUGAAAUUUCAUGGUUAUUCCAGUAAUGAUGUUAUACAUAUCUUCCAAAACAUAGAAUUGGUAUUUUUUGUAAGUCACAGUGCCUCAAUAAAUAUGACAGAUCUCAACAAAGAAUAGUUUCAAAUAUGAUAUUCCUUCAAAAUAGAUAGAUUUUAUAUAUAAAACUGCUUUCCACAGUUAAAGAUAUAUCUGAUUUCUAGAGUAAAAGGGUUUAAAGUACUAAUAAAGUCAGACAGUAAAGGAUCUAAAUUAAUAUAAUUAAGUGCCACUGAUGUUUUGGCGAUAAGAUAUAUCAUCUUUAGCAACUAUUGAUAAAUACAUAAAGUGCAUAAUAUAUUUCUAUAAACCAGUCACACACAACAUAAAAUGACUGCCUCUAGGUUAUAUGACAGAAACAAAUUCCUGUAAUAGCAAUGUAUUUAGUAGUGACAGCAGGGUCAUGUUUAAUGGUGUUUCAUGAUUAAUGAUAAUAAUAGUGUUGAGUUAAGUGGAUACAGUAGAGUCAUCUCGAAAGGAAACAGUAGUGUUGUGUUUAGUGAAGACAGCAGUGUUGUGUUUACAAUCAUCAAUGUUCUAUUUAUUGCUGAUGUUACAGGUAUACAGACUUUUGACAGUAGUGCUAUAAUGAGAAAAGACAGAGGUGAAAAGUUGAACUCAGUCAGAUUUGAACUCAGAAAGUAAAGAGCCAGAAGAAAUGCUACUAUGCAUUCUGUCCAAUGCACCAAUGAUUCUGCCAGCUUCCAGCUUUGCUUAUUAUAUCAAGUAAUAAUCAACAGCAAAUUUAUUAGUGCUAUUAGUAGAGCCAGUAAUGCUAUAUUGUGGUGCUAAUUGUAACACAUUCAAUAGUUAAGUAUUUUUAUUGUAUCUAAUGCAUAACUAGUAUAUGUUUAUUGAUCCACAAUAAAUGAAAGGCAAAACUGACUUAAAUGGGUACUGAACUGACUAAGAGUGAAGCACCAAAUUAAAUAAUGCAUACCACCAUGCUUUUACCAUCUGUUAUUGGUACUUAAUCAGCAUUAAUUCUCACAUUACAAUGUUGGCAAAAUUUCUAUGCUGGCAAUAAGGGGUGUUGUCAUUGUUGUUGUUACAGUUGUUAUUAGAUAGCCUUGCUAAACUCUACUUGAGUAGAACUGUUAUACAGAGUCAACUGAUCAAACAAAGAAGACCUUAGCAUUUCUACUUAAGGUCAUCUUGUUUUUUACUGAAGGGCAUGCAAUUUCAAGGUUAAGGACUUAGAUAUAAAAAAUAUGCUUCUUUUUGUUUUAAAACUAAUGAAUGGAGUGAUUUAGCUACAUUAACUAGGUCUGAAUUAAUAUAGUACAUUAUACUUGGUGUAUAAUGCUGUAUUAUAAUAGUACUGAAAUAGAGCUGCCUCUGCAAUGCUAGUAUAGUGCAGUGGUGUAUUUGUAUGUCUUAAUAUGUGAAGGUGUUUGUAUGAGAAAUAGAAAAGUGAAGGAGAGAGUGCUUAAGUGAGGUGUACAAGUGCAUGUGGACAAAAAAGCAUUUUCAUUGGUUCAAUGAGUUGUUUUGUUUCAAAUCAUUCUGCUGCUUCCAUCAAUAUCUCAUCUACCACCCUACUACCAUUAUUACCAUCACAACCACUACUACCAGAGCUAAAAAUAGGAACAAAUUUGUUACCAUCCAUCACUAAGACCACAACAAUUUCAUCACUGCAACAACAACAAUUUCAAAUACAUUCUGCAAACCAACAACAGCAAUGAUAUUUCAUAACAGAAAACCAAGGGGUGGAAUGUGAAGACAAGCUAAAUCUAUGUACCAUCUUAGAUUAAAUGUUGUCAAUCUUGGAAACCAAAAUAGAAAGUGAAAGCCUGACCUUUAAAUGUAAAGUGUUACAAAACUUUGUUGGGUUCCUGUGACAAACAAGAAAUAUUAGUGACAAUCUUAUUCUGACAUUUUACAGACUUGACAACAGGAACAACAUCAGACCAGUAUUCAAUGGCAUUUCUAAAUAUAAUACAAUAUUGAAAAAAAUAUAAACAAUGCUAAUUUGGAAUUUAUAGCAAAAAUAUGUAGUUUGAAGUAAAAAUGGUUAGUUCUGUAAAACAAAAUAUUAGCUACUUUUAUAAUUUCUAACAUAGGCACAAGGCCAGAAAUCUGAGGGGAGGAGGUUAAUUGAUUAAAUCAAUUCCAGUAUAUGACUGGUACUUUAUUUAAAGUAAAGCUGGCCACUUUAGUGUGAUUUUAAAGAGUCAGAAAAAAUAUAGAGCCAGGCUACAAAUCCACUGUUCUGGUAUGGUAAAAUAAUAAUUUCUAAGAUAAGCAUGAAAUAAGAAAUUUGAAGAGAUGAAAAUAAGGAUAUUGAUACCAUAUUAAAUGAAAAUAAGGAUAGUGAUACUGAUUGAGAAUGGUGAAUAGAAUUUUAUAUAACUACAUAAUACAAUGGUGAUUAAGGUAGAAUAUUAAGUAGUGACAGAAAUGUUACCAACACAUGUAACUCUAUAAAUGAUUGGUACUUUAUUUUAUCAACUCCAGGCAAAGUUGACCUCUGCAGGAUAGCUGAAAACCCAAGCUAAUCCACUCUUCUAGUAUCAAAUAAUAAUAAUAAUAAUAAAUAAUAAUAAUAAUAAUAAUAAUAAUAAUAAUAACAAAAAAAAAAAUAAUAAUUCUUUCUACUAUAGGUUCAAGGCCUGAAAUUUUGUGGAGAGGCGACAGUUGAUUACAUCAAACCCAGUGAUGAACUGGUCUUAUUUUAUUUGAUCUUGAAAGGCAAAGUGGACUUCAGCCAGGUUUAAACUUAGAAAGUAAAGAACCAGAAGAAAUGCAAUUAGGCAUUUUAUCCAGCACACUAACAAUUCUUCCAACUCACCAUCUUAACCCUCCAGCAUUUAAACCGGUCAUAUUUGGCCCAAGUAUUCCCUUGGCUCAAACCAGCCAGAUCUGGUUUCUCACACCGACCCUACAAUGUCAUUCUAAAAAUAAACAAUAACAUUGGAAUAUUGAAGCUACAAUAUAAUGCAUAAUUCAUUUAAAACAAUAUGAAAGAAUAAGUAUUACAUCUGACAGUAAAAUCUAAAUACUAAAGAGUCAACGAUAAUAUUAGUUGUACUUCAUGGAAAAAAAAUGAGGGUACUGUGUAGUGAAUUAUACAAUCUAUAUAAGUGACACCAACUAUGAUGGUACUGUGUGAUGAAGCACAAAAUAUGUAUGUGCAGCCAUAGAGAAAGUAAUGUGUGGUAAAUACAAUUACAAUGGCACAAUGGAACUAAGUGACACAAAUUCGAAUGGUACUAUGUGGUGACAUACAUUACGUAUGUUAUCCUAGUACUGUAUUGUGAGAUACACAAUCUAUAUAUGCAGACCAUUAUAUUAUGAUGAUAUAUCAAAAUAAAUUUGCAUAUCUGGAAGUGAUAGUGUGGCAAAUCUGACGACAGACAACUAAAGGUGAAAAGGUGACCACCAGCCAGCAAUGGAAUCGUUAUGUAAUUAUUUGACUUGCAAGAAAGAGCAACCAAAUCUUCUUCAUAGCAACCAAAUCUUCUUCCUACCACCUUAGAAAAAAAGGACACAUUGGAUAAUAUAACACAAGGUGCAGUAUGCUUCAAAUAAAGACAGGAUAUUCUUGAUCAGUGCUGACUUGACGUUAAACAUCAAUUAAAGAAAGGUUGCAGACAAAUAGAAAAAGAUAAGAGCUUUAACUUUUGCCAUUGUGCAAUAAUAAUAUCAAAUUUCACCAAAUCUGAAAUAUUGGAAAAUUAACCUCACCUUUUAUAAGCCUAUAUUAUGGCCAGUCUAUUCACCAAUCAUAAGAAGCCAUAUUUCUUUUACAUAGAUAUCUUUCAACUAGGAAUGAACUAACAUAAAUUUCAACUAUUUUAUGCUUGGUAGACAAUUGAUAUAUUUGUAUAAAUAUUUCACCUCAAAGCUAUUUCCUUUCAAGAAUAUUAUAGAAUAUACAGGAGAGAGGAUUCCAUCAGUAAUAUUUCACAACAUAAUUUAAUAAUAAAACCACUAACAAUUUAAUAAAUGUAUACUGUUUUUAAUAACUACUUAGUCAUUGCUUUAGUAAUAAUUCAUCUAGAAUUACAUUUCUUAAUUUGGAAACAUAAAUUUAAGAAGUGAAAAAACAAUAAAGAAUGGAAGAUAAAAGAAAGACACUAUAAUGAAUAAUAGACAAUGCCAAAGAAAACUGUGAUAGUAGAACACCAACUUAUAAAUUGCUAUAACUAAUAUAACAAGAUGGUAUAUUCCAUGAAAUAAAUGCUCACUAAAAAAGCACUGAAUCUGAACUCUGGGUUUGCUUAGCAUUUAUUUGAGGAUGUUAAAACAAUCCUUGCUUUAUUAACAGUAGCAAUAAUGUCCUUGGCAUAAGUGUUGAUUACUAUUUAAACAAACAUAUUUGUUUACUAAAAUACAUGUAAAAUAUUGUUUUUCAAUUUUGGAAAUCAUUAGUCUUAAUAUAUUGUAUUUGAUGAAAUAUAAGACGCACUUUUUUUCCAAAUAAAUAUCUCAAAAAUUCCCCUGGAUCCUAUAUGCAAAGUUGGGCACCCCAUAAACUAAUUUUGUUCACAAUGCUCAUUUUUCUUGAAUAUGUGCUACUGAAAUUGAGGUACAUCUAAAAUGCCCAUGUAUCUUUUAUGCCAUCAAAUACGGCAAUAAAAUCAUGUUGCCUACAAUCACAUGACAAUUUUUAGAGGGUUGUUUUUUCUUGGGGGGGAGGAGGGUUUACAUAGAAACCAAAAGACCAAGGAUGUAUAAGCAUAUCUCUGAAGCAACACAACACAUGAUGGCAUACCAUAUAAAAGUAUCAGAAAAUUGUAAAUUCAUGCUUUAAUAAUGGCAAACUGAUAUUUUGACUCUUUAACAAUUACUCAUAUUUAACAUAAAUACCAAUUCAUUCAUAAUUUGAUUUUAAUUACAGCUAAUUUAUCAUAUUUGAUCGUUUUCACAGGAAACCAAGAAACCAAUUUUGUAUGCUAAUUUAAUUCACGUGUACAUUAAUAAAGUAUUUUACUUGAAGCUAAGUCACAACUUGUUAGAAGCUAAAACACGCCAUUAGAAGGGAAAACAACUGUGAAAUUUAAAUGGAUGAACUUAGCACAGAAGAGAGAAGAAUAACUAAUGGAGAACGUGCUUGAACAACAAUGCCAACUGCCAACUGUAAUUCCAGUUAAUUCUCCUCACUACAAACAAAUUCACUAAAAUAUAUUUUUUAGAACAAAAUAAUCCUUUCCUGAGUCUAUUUCUGCAAUGAAAUGAUGUGAUGGUUAUUUAAUUUCCCAGACUUUAUUCCACAUACUAAUUUAAAUCUACUUCAAUCAAUAAUGGCAUUUUGUCAGUACAAAACUUCUAAAAUAUUUCCAUCAUUUCAGAUUUCCUUCACACUUAUUUUCAAUGAAUUUGUAUUUACUGAAUAAAUGAUAAAACAAUUAUUUAAACUUCAAAAAUGUUAAUUAAGAAUUAAUUAUUAGCAAAGGAAGCACCUUUAUAAGAGGAUUUCUCAAGGCCAAUAACGCAGUAUUCAUGGAUAUAAAGAUUACCUUAUGUCAAUUAAAGUCUACCUUUAAAAAAAAAUAUAUUUUCAUAGAUCUCCAGUUUUUAAGAUUUAAGUAUACACAACCCCCAAUCACACACAUUUGGAUGAGAGUAAGUAAAAUCAACAAAACUCAGUCAAAGCAUUCAGUCUUAGACGUUAGAAUUAAUAGUCUAAAGGUGACCUGCAUUGACAUUAAAUGAAUAGGAUACAGGAGUGUGCAGCAGUAUCAUUUUAUAUAUUUAUUUAUAUAUUUUCAUAUGUGUUUGUUUGCUUAAAUACUUUGUUAGAAAGUCUGUAAAACUGUUUAGUGUGGAGUAGCUCAUGCUGUAAGAUCAGUGAGAAGCAGGUGACAAUGUUAGCUUUCCUGUUGUGAGGAGGGUAUGGUUAAACAUCCAGCUUUUGCAGUAGUCAAUACCAGUAUUAGGGUAUAACAUCAAGGUUUGGUUAAGUAAAUAUUAAAAAAAGUGAAUACACAUACACACACAUACAUGCAUACAUGCAUGCAUGUAGAUAUGUAGGUAGGAAUGUAUGCAUGUAAGUAUAUAUGUGUGUAUGUACAUACAUCAUAGGUGAAUUGGAAUGUGUAAUCCAAGUGUUUAGCUCAUGAAGCAUUCACACAGACAGUGGCUAUCUGAAAGUGGAAAGGUGGGGAGGUCUAGGAUGUCACCACACCAGUAUUCAGAAAAUCCACAAAAGCAUCUAUAGAAUAUACAUGGUCUGAUCAAUAAGUAUCCAGACUGUUGUCAUAGUAAUGAAGCUAAAGCAUGCAGAGUGAAGCUGCUUAGCACAGAUUGACCAUGAACACUGCUGUGCAUGUGCACCAAAUUUUAACAUUCUAGCUCACUUCUGCUGUUUACAGCAGUGGUUGGAAGGAACGUGUGUAGCAUGUGAUCAUCACAUUGACCAUGACAGAGAAAGUUGAGCAGAGAAUCUGCAUUAAAGUUGCAGAAAGUGUAUGGAAAGGAGUGUGUGAGCCAAAAGAAUGUCAAUAGUGACAAACAUUCUGGGAUACCUGUUAGCAGCAGAACUGAGAAAAACAUCGCAGAUGUGCGGGGAGGUCAUCAAAUCACCAUCUGUGAGUUAUCAGAGUAUGUACAAAUUAAUUAUGGUUCAGUUCAGUCCAUUAUUACUGAAGAUUUGGAUAUGUGUCUGCCAAGUUUGGGCCAAAACUCAUUUCAGCUGACCAAAAUAACACACGGAUUUCAAUUGCACAAGAUCUCCUUAAAUUGUGUCGAGAAUGAUGAAAACUUUUUGAAAACAGUCAUAACAGGUGAUGGAUCAUGGGUCUAAGGCUAUAACCCCAAAACAAAGGCUCAGUCUUUGCAGUGGAAGACCCCAACCUCCCCAAGACAAAAGCAAUGUGAAGACAUUGUGGACCAUUUUCUUCGACUACAAAGGGGAUUGUUCAUCAUGAGUAUUUUCCACCUGGUCAGACAGCAAACAAGGAGUACUACCCUGAUGUUCUGCAGCAUUUGUGGAAUGCUAUUUGUCGAAAAAGGCCACAAUGGCAUGCAUCUGGUGAGUGGCAAUUGCACCAUGAAAACACACCUGGCCAUUUAGUGCAGCUUGUGGAGCAGUUUUUGGCUAGGCACAGCAUUCUCCAGGUCUGAUGGCCACCAUAUUCCCCAGAUCUCACCCCUUGCGACUUUCCAAAAAUCAAAUCCUGCUUGAAAGGUAGAUUUCAGGACAUCAAAGAAAUCAAAGUGAAUGUGACAAGGCAGCUGCUGAUUAUCCCAGAAAACAAGCUCCAGGAAACAAUGCUGGAUUAAGUGUGUGGAUUCCAAAGGGGACUACUUUGAAGGAGACUAAAUGCCAAAUUGGUACAUGUUGUAGUUUUGUUUUUAUAGCACUAGUCCGGAUACUUAUUGAUCAAACCUUGUAUAUAAUAAAAGAAUAUCAAAGAAUGAAGUUAGCUAACUUUUUAAGAUGUAAGUAAACAUAAACUAUACAUAUAUAUAUAUAGAUGGAUAGCUGUAAUUGGAUAAGAACUCACAACCAUGGAUCAAAACUCUGGACACAAUGUUCAUCAGGUUAUUUGUGUCUAUUGAACAAAGCCAACUAUAAACAAAACACAUGUUGAAUAGGUUAGAAGAAAGGAAUAUUUCUUUUACACUUGUUGAAAAGUUUCAGCAUUGCAUUUAAUGCUGCUUGUAAUAUUGUUUGCUGUGCCUUUAAUAUCUCAGUAAUUUAACUGAAUGUUAAUAAACAAAUAACAAGAAAUAAACCUUUCAAUUGCUACUGAGAUUAUAAAUGUAUAUAUAUAGCAGAUCGGUCAGAACAAACAAUAAACAAUAAUUUCUUUUAAAAAAUAACAAAACAAACAAGAAAACAGGUUAGAAAGAAGCUUUAAAACAGAAAAACAUAUUAACUAGAAUCUUUGAAGGAAUGCUCGACAGAGAUUAGUUGAUGUCACAAAUAUUUACAUAAAUAGAUUCACUUGACCUUUGGGUAAACUUUACAUAAUGAUGGGGAACAGAGCAAUGUAGCUACCUGUAAUGAAUUACAUAGGAAGACCUCUGAAUGAUAUGCAUGCAAUCUGCUCACCACAGCAAGAACUGGUAUGGAACAACAGCACACAAAACAGGCUCUAGUACAUCUCCGGUAUUGUAUGGCAGUAGUUUUUGGGGUGUUAAGUCAGUGAAGCAAUUUACAGUGCCAUAAAAAUAGCUUUCAUGUUAGGCUGUUUAUAAUUAAAAUAACUAUAGAUUUAAAAAAGAAAGAAAUAUCAAGUAUAGGCAUGAAGUUAUUUUUUAACAUCUUUUUCCGGAGUAGGAAAACAAAAGCAACAUCAAAUU